Molecule: ribosomal RNA, 591 nt
Filed under: Debaryomyces sp. CLIB 1277
Lineage: Eukaryota; Fungi; Ascomycota; Pichiomycetes; Serinales; Debaryomycetaceae
Description: partial 26S ribosomal RNA
Source: RNAcentral
AAGACGGGUGGCUUAAGAUCAUUAUGCCAACAUCCUAGUCAAAAGACGCAGUCCUCGGUCUAGACAGGCAGUAUCAACCAAGGCUAUAACACUCCACCGAAGUAGAGCCACAUUCCUUAGUCAUUAUCCUACCAUCCAAACCGAUGCUGGCCCAGUAAGCUGCGAGGAACCCAACCAAGAAGGAAAGGAUCGCAAAAUACCAAGUCUGAUCUCAAGCCCUUCCCUUUCAACAAUUUCACGUACUUUUUCACUCUCUUUUCAAAGUUCUUUUCAUCUUUCCAUCACUGUACUUGUUCGCUAUCGGUCUCUCGCCAAUAUUUAGCUUUAGAUGGAAUUUACCACCCACUUAGAGCUGCAUUCCCAAACAACUCGACUCUUCGAAAGCACUUUACAUAGAAUUGGGCAUCUCAUCGCACGGGAUUCUCACCCUCUGUGACGUCCUGUUCCAAGGAACAUAGACAAGAGCCAACUCCAAAGUUACCUUCUUCAAAUUACAACUCGGACACCGAAGGUGCCAGAUUUCAAAUUUGAGCUUUUGCCGCUUCACUCGCCGUUACUAAGGCAAUCCCUGUUGGUUUCUUUUCCUCCGCU